This 288-nucleotide ribosomal RNA is filed under the name Salmonella enterica subsp. enterica serovar Bovismorbificans. RNAcentral describes it as "partial 23S ribosomal RNA". It matches the Rfam family "Bacterial large subunit ribosomal RNA", at positions 528 to 816 of the family's 2925-position model. The record is from RNAcentral. Lineage: Bacteria; Pseudomonadati; Pseudomonadota; Gammaproteobacteria; Enterobacterales; Enterobacteriaceae.
GGCGAGGGGAGUGAAAAAGAACCUGAAACCGUGUACGUACAAGCAGUGGGAGCACAGGUUUACCUGUGUGACUGCGUACCUUUUGUAUAAUGGGUCAGCGACUUAUAUUCUGUAGCAAGGUUAACCGUAUAGGGGAGCCGCAGGGAAACCGAGUCUUAAUUGGGCGUUAAGUUGCAGGGUAUAGACCCGAAACCCGGUGAUCUAGCCAUGGGCAGGUUGAAGGUUGGGUAACACUAACUGGAGGACCGAACCGACUAAUGUUGAAAAAUUAGCGGAUGACCUGUGGCU